GCUGUGGUGUUUCAGUGGUAGAAUUCUUGCCUUCCUUGCAGGAGACCUGGGUUUGAUUCCCAACCAAUGCA
This 71-nucleotide transfer RNA is filed under the name Loxodonta africana (African savanna elephant). It matches the Rfam family "tRNA". From Rfam's summary of the family: Transfer RNA (tRNA) molecules are approximately 80 nucleotides in length. Their secondary structure includes four short double-helical elements and three loops (D, anti-codon, and T loops). The record is from Rfam by way of RNAcentral. Lineage: Eukaryota; Metazoa; Chordata; Mammalia; Proboscidea; Elephantidae.